CCUGGAAAACGUGUCUUGUGUCGCUUUUCUAAUCGUUGGAUGGUAAGAAGGUAGGAGGAACUGAACUUUGAGUGAGGAUCAAUUGCAUGCGAAGGGAACAACUGACCGGCGGAGCGUUCUCAGAGUUAUCUCGACGGUGCCCCGGCCUCGCCAAUGAAGAAUACCUCACUUAAAGUCACGCUUGAUCCCUCGUAGCUCGCUAGAAAGCCAUCUCAAGCCUCGGGAGAUCACGAGCCAGUUUUACAGUCGGCACGCUCUCUGUCCUUCCCACACCUUUCCAGAUCAGACAGGCCCACAUAACCAUUGCGUACGAACAACUACACAACGCUCAGUCAGAGUGGGAAAUACCACGAUAUUGGUAAGAUUCAAAGCUGUACAAGAACAACAUGUCAGUGCAACAGUAUAAUAGACAAGGACUUAUGAUUUUAUUGUACAAUUGAUUUUGGCAGGAUUUCAGAAGCUGUAUACAGUACAACAAAGAUAAUUACAAAAACGUGUUUGACAAUUAUUUGUUUUGUUUUAAAAUCCUUUAGCUGCCUGCUGCAUACCUACUGUACAACUACAUUAAUUUACAUUUCAGUAGCAGGCAAUGCCGAGCGUAUCCAUCACCAUCACAAUUGCUUGGAGAGGAUCCACAAUUUCUUGCGUGUUAUCUUUUCUCAAAACCCAGUCCGGUUUAAUUCUCGAAACUGUCUUUAUUCUUAGAGGAGUUAUCGGAAUAAAGGAAAUUCCACCAAUUACGGUGUUUGUCUUCUGUUUCACAAGCGUUCUCUCUGCAUCCAUUCUGCACUUGCGAACCGUAAGCUUAUAGAGGCUUUGAAUGCAUGUAACGACUCUGGGCAUGCUUCGGAUUUCCAAAGCUCUCUUUGAGUCCUUUGAAAGAAUGGCCAACAAACAACAAGUCUUCGUGAAAAUACUUCCUCCUUUUUCCGAAAUUUUGUCCCCAGCUUUCCCUCUGUAUGUUUGCAGCAGGUCUAGCAAUGUAUCUAUAGAAUUAUCUAC
RNAcentral lists this long non-coding RNA (1002 nucleotides) under Gallus gallus (chicken). The record is from RNAcentral. Lineage: Eukaryota; Metazoa; Chordata; Aves; Galliformes; Phasianidae.